Molecule: signal recognition particle RNA, 117 nt
Filed under: Homo sapiens (human)
Lineage: Eukaryota; Metazoa; Chordata; Mammalia; Primates; Hominidae
Description: Metazoan signal recognition particle RNA
Rfam family: Metazoan signal recognition particle RNA
About the family: The signal recognition particle (SRP) is a universally conserved ribonucleoprotein.
Source: Rfam by way of RNAcentral
GCCAGGCAUGAUGGCUCAUGCCUGUAAUCCUAGCACUUUGGGAGGCUGAGGCAGGUGGAUCACCUGAGGUCAGGAGUUCAAGACCAGCCUGACCAACAUGGUGACACCCUGUCUCUA